Molecule: non-coding RNA, 942 nt
Organism: Paramuricea clavata
Lineage: Eukaryota; Metazoa; Cnidaria; Anthozoa; Malacalcyonacea; Plexauridae
Source: the annotation of a GenBank genome assembly
GAAAGAGUUAUAUUUUAGUUUGUUAAGUUAUACUGGCUAUUUUAUUUGCAUCUUGAUCAGAUUUGAAAGUCUAGAUUGAUCUUUUCCAUAUGUUUGUUCCAUCGCAUGCUAAAACAACAACGAAAUAUCUCUCCAAAGCGGGUAAAAAUAUAGUGGGAAAUCGAUGUUUAGAUAAAUUUAACAAAUAUUUAUAUAACCUAACACGAAAUAUUAAGAAAAGAUCAAAGAGAUUCAAGAAAAAACACUUCAAAAACCCUAAAAUUCACUUUUCGCUAUAUAAAAAUGUAGAAAUUGUUUUGUUUUUGCAUAAUAAGCCUCGUUAUUGUGCAGUAUGAAGGCGCGGCCACUAAGUUUCGCAAUUGGUCUAUACAGAAGUUAGGGACCGUUCAUUUUUUAUCAGGGGGGCUGGUGGUUUUUGCAGGGGGGCCACCAGAAAAAAUAGCGAUGUGAAAGGGGGGUCACCUCAGGAAAAUUAAAUUUUGAGGGAGCCACCAAAAUGAAUACAUAAUAUAUAAAAAUCAAAGCCAUAAACUUUGAUUUGUACUCUUUCACUUAUAAAAACUCAAAGUUGGCAAAGUAAAGUAAUAAUAGAAUGCAAUCAAUAUAAAUUUAAAGUACGCAUGUAACAAUUAAGAAUUUUGCAUAUUUGUGAUAUGAAAAUCUAUUAAAAGUUAUUGGAAGUGACAUUGAGUAUUACAGUCAAACCGGAUGUUUUGUUCCCAUGAGUUUUGCAACAUUGCAAUCAAUCUUGCAGUGAACUCGAUCUAUGUCUUUUAUCUGGAAUGAUAACAUGCGGGAGAAACGUGAAGCAACGCCACUUCAUGCUAACGCCAGCGCGCUGACUCGCACUGAAUCGUGAUAGACCAUGCGGUGAUGGCGUAUAAGACGACUGAAACUGACAUUCGUGGCAAUGGACCACACGGUGAUGGCAUAUAAAGGGAC